UACGGGAGGCAGCAGUGGGGAAUAUUGCACAAUGGGCGCAAGCCUGAUGCAGCCAUGCCGCGUGUAUGAAGAAGGCCUUCGGGUUGUAAAGUACUUUCAGUCGUGAGGAAGGUGUUAAGGUUAAUAACCUUAGCAAUUGACGUUAGCGACAGAAGAAGCACCGGCUAACUCCGUGCCAGCAGCCGCGGUAAUACGGAGGGUGCGAGCGUUAAUCGGAAUUACUGGGCGUAAAGGGCACGCAGGCGGUUAAUUAAGUUGGAUGUGAAAUCCCCGGGCUUAACCUGGGAAUGGCAUUCAAGACUGGUUAGCUAGAGUCUUGUAGAGGGGGUAGAAUUCCAUGUGUAGCGGUGAAAUGCGUAGAGAUGUGGAGGAAUACCGGUGGCGAAGGCGGCCCCUGGGACAAAGACUGACGCUCAUGUGCGAAAGCGUGGGGAGCGAAACAGGAUUAGAUAC
Molecule: ribosomal RNA, 453 nt
Filed under: uncultured bacterium
Lineage: Bacteria
Description: bacterial SSU rRNA
Rfam family: Bacterial small subunit ribosomal RNA
Source: RNAcentral